AGAGUUUGAUCCUGGCUCAGAGUGAACGCUGGCGGUAGGCCUAACACAUGCAAGUCGAACGGCAGCACAGUAAGAGCUUGCUCUUACGGGUGGCGAGUGGCGGACGGGUGAGGAAUACAUCGGAAUCUACUUUUUCGUGGGGGAUAACGUAGGGAAACUUACGCUAAUACCGCAUACGACCUACGAGUGAAAGCAGGGGAUCUUCGGACCUUGCGCGAUUGAAUGAGCCGAUGUCGGAUUAGCUAGUUGGCGGGGUAAAGGCCCACCAAGGCGACGAUCCGUAGCUGGUCUGAGAGGAUGAUCAGCCACACUGGAACUGAGACACGGUCCAGACUCCUACGGGAGGCAGCAGUGGGGAAUAUUGGACAAUGGGCGCAAGCCUGAUCCAGCCAUACCGCGUGGGUGAAGAAGGCCUUCGGGUUGUAAAGCCCUUUUGUUGGGAAAGAAAUCCAGCUGGUUAAUACCCGGUUGGGAUGACGGUACCCAAAGAAUAAGCACCGACUAACUUCGUGCCAGCAGCCGCGGUAAUACGAAGGGUGCAAGCAUUACUCGGAAUUACUGGGCGUAAAGCGUGCGUAGGUGGUCGUUUAAGUCUGUCGUGAAAGCCCUGGGCUCAACCUGGGAACUGCAGUGGAAACUGGACGACUAGAGUGUGGUAGAGGGUAGCGGAAUUCCUGGUGUAGCAGUGAAAUGCGUAGAGAUCAGAGGAACAUCCAUGGCGAAGGCAGCUACCUGGACCAACACUGACACUGAGGCACGAAAGCGUGGGGAGCAAACAGGAUUAGAUA
RNAcentral lists this ribosomal RNA (788 nucleotides) under uncultured bacterium. RNAcentral describes it as "bacterial SSU rRNA". It matches the Rfam family "Bacterial small subunit ribosomal RNA", at positions 8 to 784 of the family's 1533-position model. The record is from RNAcentral.